Molecule: ribosomal RNA, 623 nt
Filed under: uncultured bacterium
Lineage: Bacteria
Description: bacterial SSU rRNA
Rfam family: Bacterial small subunit ribosomal RNA
Source: RNAcentral
GGGGAGUACGGUCGCAAGAUUAAAACUCAAAGGAAUUGACGGGGACCCGCACAAGCGGUGGAUGAUGUGGAUUAAUUCGAUGCAACGCGAAAAACCUUACCUACCCUUGACAUGUCUGGAAUGCCGAAGAGAUUUGGCAGUGCUCGCAAGAGAACCAGAACACAGGUGCUGCAUGGCUGUCGUCAGCUCGUGUCGUGAGAUGUUGGGUUAAGUCCCGCAACGAGCGCAACCCUUGUCAUUAGUUGCUACGCAAGAGCACUCUAAUGAGACUGCCGGUGACAAACCGGAGGAAGGUGGGGAUGACGUCAAGUCCUCAUGGCCCUUAUGGGUAGGGCUUCACACGUCAUACAAUGGUCGGGACAGAGGGUCGCCAACCCGCGAGGGGGAGCCAAUCUCAGAAACCCGAUCGUAGUCCGGAUCGCAGUCUGCAACUCGACUGCGUGAAGUCGGAAUCGCUAGUAAUCGCGGAUCAGAAUGUCGCGGUGAAUACGUUCCCGGGUCUUGUACACACCGCCCGUCACACCAUGGGAGUGGGUUUCACCAGAAGUAGGUAGCCUAACCGCAAGGAGGGCGCUUACCACGGUGGGAUUCAUGACUGGGGUGAAGUCGUAACAAGGUAACCG